CCUUGCUAAACUCAAACUUCUUAUAGUUAUUUGUCGUUCCUCCUUUCACGUCUAAAGUCUGUGUAUUCUGUUCCGUGCACAAAUGAAAUUUUCUUAGAAUUUAUUUAUUAGCCGAAAAUACAGAAGAUUCAUUAUGACCAAAGCAACGUAAUGCAUCGAAACCAUUGAAUUUCAGGCACUCCUCUCUAUUCUUUGAACGAUAAUUCACAAGCAAUAGGAAUCGCCUAAUGAGCAAGAACUCAGGUGGAAAUAAAAAGCAAUACAUAUAGCAAAACCUUGGUGAAAGUUUCCCCUGCAGGCAAGCAUGAGGAAUACAAAAUUACUUGACAAGAAUUAGGAGCUGGAUUAAAGCCUCCAUCUUUAUUCAGAGUAGCAGCAUUCUCAGGCUUCCCAACCUCUAAGAACAGUAGCUCGAGCAACUCGAUUAACUCCUAAAGUAAAGGCUCCCAUACGGAGAUCGCAAUUGUGGGCCUUGCACAUCUCCUUCACAUCUUUGAAUCCUUUGGUCAUGUAAGUCUUGAGCUCAUUAUUCACUUUCUCCUCAUCCCACAGGAAUCCUUGGAUGUUCUGCACCCACUCAAAGUAACUAACAGUAACUCCUCCUGAGUUUGCAUAUAUAUCUGGCAGAAUAACAACUCCUUUUUUUGAUAAAAUCUCAUCGGCCUCUGGAUCGGUUGGAUGGUUAGCAGCUUCAAUAAUGAAUUUGGCUUUUAUUUCAUUGGCAUUUUCUCUGUUGAUGACUCCCCCAAGGGCUGCUGGAAUGAGAAUAUCACAAUCCUCAACUAAUAUUGAUUUAGGAUCUAUGGGAUCCCCACCAUGAAAUCCUUUCACACCCUUGUGUUCCUUGGCAUGUUUGAGCAGGUUUGGAAUAUCAAUACCAUUUUUGUUCUUUAUAGCCCCAGUGACAUCACUUACAGCAACAAUUUUCCCACCUUGCUCACUGAUCAAUUGGGCAGCCCAGGAGCCCACAUUGCCAAAACCCUGAAAUGAAACACAUUGUCAUCUUAAGGGAACUUUGCUUUAGCCUUCAAGGCUUAACCUGCCGCCAAAUUCAUAUUUGUGCAUCUUCCUAUAGUGGAUUGACCAACCAAGCUGAUAGUCUAGAAAGUGAACCUGUAUGACAAACCGUUGUCCAGAUAUGGACUUCCCAUACUCAUUAAGCAAGGCUUCUGUGGCAAAGAGGACUCCUCUUCCGGUGGCAGCAUCUCUGCCUAGAGACCCUCCGAGAUCAAUAGGUUUUCCAGUCACAACUGCAGGUGAAUAACCAUGGAAUUUCGAGUAUUCGUCUAGUAUCCAUGCCAUUGUCUGAGGCCCAGUUCCCAUAUCUGGAGCUGGAACAUCAGUGUGAAUUCCUAUCAGAUCAUGAAUCUUUUGGGUAAAAACUCUGGUAAGUCGCUCUAGUUCAGAUACGCUUAAAUCCCCUGGAUUGCAUCCUAUCCCCCCUUUAGCGCCUCCAUAAGGGAUAUUUGCUACUGCUGUCUUCCAUGUCAUGAGUUGUGCUAAUGCAUUCACCUCAUCUGGAUCAACCUCUUGGUGAUAUCUAAUUCCCCCCUUCAUUGGGCCUCUAGCAUUGUCAUGCUGGACUCUGAACCCAACAAAAGAAGCCAAAGUCCCAUCAUCUUUGGGUAUGGUGCAUUCAACCUUGAUUUCUCUGAAUGGAAUAAGCAAACUCUUCUCAAGCUUAGAGUCAAGCCCCAGCAGCCUAGCUGCCAGCUUAAAGUUUCUGUUGGUAGCCACUAGUGCAUUCAUGGUUGCUUCACAAGAUUGUGAAGAAGAACUUGUCCAAUUCCACUCUAAAUCAGCAACUAUGAUCGAACUCGAGCACCGAAUCUACAAAUAAAUAGGGCAAAACAUGAAAAGAGAAUCAAAUUCCUUGAGAAUCCAAGAAAAAAAAAACUCUAAAUCUUUGGCAAAUUAACCAAAUCCAAAUUGGGUUGAAAUAUAUAUAAAGAUCACAGUGGGAGAGGGAGUAGUUGGAGCAAUUGGUGUCUCCAACAUGGGUUUUCAUUAGAGGGAGAGAACUCGAUGCCCUCCUCCUCCUAUCUAUAUGUGCAACUACUUUUUCAUCACCUUGUACGUGGAAUUCAAAUUCGUCAAGUCUGGCAAAUGUUACUGCAUGAACGUGAAUCCUACGCGAAACCCAUAUAUGUUUCCUGUUGCCAUUAUUGUUGGAAAUUGAACAUUUUUUUCCAUGGCCAAGUUCGGUUUUAUAGACAGAGACACAGAGUUUAGUCUUGAAUUGAAUAUUUCUUUUAGCUGUCUCAUCA
RNAcentral lists this unclassified non-coding RNA (2267 nucleotides) under Hevea brasiliensis (rubber tree). The record is from RNAcentral. Lineage: Eukaryota; Viridiplantae; Streptophyta; Magnoliopsida; Malpighiales; Euphorbiaceae.